RNAcentral lists this ribosomal RNA (269 nucleotides) under uncultured bacterium. Its description in RNAcentral is "partial 16S ribosomal RNA". The record is from RNAcentral.
CUGCUGCCUCCCGUAGGAGUUUGGGCCGUGUCUCAGUCCCAAUGUGGCCGUUCACCCUCUCAGGCCGGCUACUGAUCGUCGCUUUGGUGGGCCGUUACCCCGCCAACUGGCUAAUCAGACGCGGAUCCAUCGUAUACCACCGGAGUUUUUCACACUGUUCCAUGCGGAACCGUGCGCUUAUGCGGUAUUAGCACCUAUUUCUAAGUGUUACUCCCCCUGUAUACGGCAGGUUAUCCGCGCGUUACUCACCCGUCCGCCACCUAACCCAA